Molecule: ribosomal RNA, 253 nt
Filed under: uncultured bacterium
Lineage: Bacteria
Description: partial 16S ribosomal RNA
Rfam family: Bacterial small subunit ribosomal RNA
Source: RNAcentral
UACGGAGGGUGCGAGCGUUGUCCGGAAUCACUGGGCGUAAAGGGCGCGUAGGUGGCUUGUCAAGCGCGCGGUGAAAGCCCGGGGCUCAACCCCGGAAUUGCCUUUAAGACUGCAUCGCUAGAAUUGUGGAGAGGUGAGUGGAAUUCCGAGUGUAGAGGUGAAAUUCGUAGAUAUUCGGAAGAACACCAGUGGCGAAGGCGACUCACUGGACACAUAUUGACGCUGAGGUGCGAAAGCGCGGGGAGCAAACAGG